RNAcentral lists this transfer RNA (86 nucleotides) under Hypoxylon sp. CI-4A. It matches the Rfam family "tRNA". Rfam says of the family: Transfer RNA (tRNA) molecules are approximately 80 nucleotides in length. Their secondary structure includes four short double-helical elements and three loops (D, anti-codon, and T loops). The record is from Rfam by way of RNAcentral. Lineage: Eukaryota; Fungi; Ascomycota; Sordariomycetes; Xylariales; Hypoxylaceae.
GGGUUCAUGGCCUAAUGGUAAGGCGUUAGAUUUCGGUUCCCAUUCCGGUUCUCUAAAGAUUGCAGGUUCGAUCCCUGCUGAGCUCG